AAGUCGUAACAAGGUUUCCGUAGGUGAACCUGCGGAAGGAUCAUUAACACGAAACUCCACGUUUCAUACCAACCUGUGGUCUUGUAACUUUCAAGUUUUUUUGGGGACACGAGGGCGCAAGCUUCUCUGUUUCCAGGAGACUUUUUAUUAUUACAAAAACCCCUUGUAUCAUCUAUUGACUGAACCAAUGGAAGUUUUGAGUACCCUUUACGGGCGCUCGCUUCUUGAUAUUACGAAACUCUGAACAACUCUAAGCAACGGAUAUCUUGGUUCUC
This 275-nucleotide unclassified non-coding RNA is filed under the name fungal sp. Its description in RNAcentral is "partial internal transcribed spacer region". The stretch from base 1 to 46 matches the Rfam family "Eukaryotic small subunit ribosomal RNA", at positions 1786 to 1831 of the family's 1831-position model. The record is from RNAcentral. Lineage: Eukaryota; Fungi.